Molecule: ribosomal RNA, 590 nt
Filed under: Ascomycota sp. JR16
Lineage: Eukaryota; Fungi; Ascomycota
Description: eukaryotic LSU rRNA
Rfam family: 5.8S ribosomal RNA (bases 212-365)
Source: RNAcentral
GGGGGCUCAAACGAGUUGCGAGACUCGGAACCAUCGCGAACGUUACCUUUUCGUCGCCGCCGUUGCCUCGGCGGGCGGCGGCUCUGCUGCCCCCUCCCCCGCGCGAGCGGGGGGCGGGGUGGUGGGGCCGCGAGGCCCGCCGGGGGGACGCGGAACCCUCUGUUUUUAUUCUCCUAGCGCCUCUCUGAGUGGAUACAGCGAAACAAGUCAAAACUUUCAACAACGGAUCUCUUGGUUCUGGCAUCGAUGAAGAACGCAGCGAAAUGCGAUAAGUAAUGUGAAUUGCAGAAUUCAGUGAAUCAUCGAAUCUUUGAACGCACAUUGCGCCCGCCAGUAUUCUGGCGGGCAUGCCUGUCCGAGCGUCAUUUCAACCCCUCAAGCCCAGCUUGGUGUUGGGGCACUACGCGCCCCGCGCGCGUAGGCCCCGAAUUGCAGUGGCGGGCUCGCCGCGACCCCGAGCGCAGUAGCACAACUCGCUCCAGGGCGCCGCGGCGGGCGCCUGCCGUGAAAGCCCCGCAACACGCAACAGGUUUGACCUCGGAUCAGGUAGGAAUACCCGCUGAACUUAAGCAUAUCAAUAAGCGGAGGAA